AUCCUUCUAGAAUCCCAUCUCUUCUCUUUGAACCAGGUGGUGAAGAGCUUAAGAAACUGAGCGAGAGCGAAGGCAAGGAAAGCAGAGAGGAGAGGGGUGUUGGAGGGAAAAACGGAGGGCUGAGAUGAUGUUGAUCGAAAGCUUGAUGAUGCGUCAGAGCCCGUCAUGACCUCGUCCAUCGAAAGCAAAUGCGUAGGGAGAGAGAAGAAGAAGAAGAAGCUUUAGAGGUUUACCCUUAUGCAAGAAGAGGAAGGUAUUGGAGAAGAUAGUUGCGUCACGAGCAGGGAAAUUGGGUGCGUAUGGGAAUUCGUAUUCUGAUUCUGUACAGGAGGAGGAGGUUUUUCUCAGCCAUUGCCAUCCCACUGAUGACUCCACAU
Molecule: unclassified non-coding RNA, 377 nt
Filed under: Hevea brasiliensis (rubber tree)
Lineage: Eukaryota; Viridiplantae; Streptophyta; Magnoliopsida; Malpighiales; Euphorbiaceae
Source: RNAcentral